Molecule: ribosomal RNA, 292 nt
Filed under: uncultured bacterium
Lineage: Bacteria
Description: partial 16S ribosomal RNA
Rfam family: Bacterial small subunit ribosomal RNA
Source: RNAcentral
GAUGAACGCUGGCGGCGUGCCUAAUACAUGCAAGUCGAACGCACAGCGAAAGGUGCUUGCACCUUUCAAGUGAGUGGCGAACGGGUGAGUAACACGUGGAUAACCUACCUCAAGGUUGGGGAUAACAUUUGGAAACAGAUGCUAAUACCGAAUAAAACUUCGUAUCGCAUGAUACAAGGUUAAAAGGCGCUACGGCGUCACCUAGAGAUGGAUCCGCGGUGCAUUAGUAGUUGUGGGUAAAGGCUACCAGACAAUGAUGCAUAGCCGAGUUGAGAGACUGAUCGGCCACAUU